RNAcentral lists this small RNA (3756 nucleotides) under Pan troglodytes (chimpanzee). RNAcentral's name for it is "retained intron". The record is from RNAcentral. Lineage: Eukaryota; Metazoa; Chordata; Mammalia; Primates; Hominidae.
UAUCUUUACUUUACAGGGAGGAAACUGACAUACACUCCCUUCUCCUUGAGGGUUUUGGAGCAGGUCACCAUGGGCAGGGAGAAGGGGGCACAAUGUCCAUGGACCAGGGCUUGGAAAGGUGUCAGGACUGUUCCCCCUGCUUGGGAGGACUGGAGGAAGAGGCAGGUUUUUUUGCGGGAGCAACAAGGCUUGAAGACAGAGCUAAAGAAACAUGAAAAAUAUGAAAAGGGAGGCUGUGGGAAGGCAAGUAGGGUCUGCAUGCUCAUAGAUGGGAGUAGGAGAUUGAGUAUCAGUGCUAUUGACACAAGACAAACCUGGGACGUCCCACAAGGCCUUCCAGUCCUGGGAUUCUUCUUGGCCUGGCUUCUCUUUGGAGAGUCUGUGCUGUGGUUCUAAGAUUCCUGGCUAGAAUGUCACACACUGCUGGAUUUAGGAUUCUAUUCUGGAAUCCUGUGAUUCUCCCUGAUGAGACUAAGACUCACAUUCCUGGUGUGACUGCAUUCUCUCCUGCCAGGUGUGUAGGUGGAGCUUCCCUUCCUGUCUGAGAAGGAAAGGCUGGGGGGCGGGGGGGCAUCUACAGUCUGCUGAGGGGCAGCACAUCGGGCCUGUGCACCCUUAUCCUAUCCUUUGCCGAUGGGACCUUAUUUCCCCCAACUUACAAUGGUUCAAAAGGGCCUGAAUCUGAGGCAAACAGAGCUGGCCAUGGUCAGGGCCAGGUCUGUGUGGUGAGACAGAAAGGAAACAGUUGUCAGCAGGCAAAAGGGGUGGGGGCAGUUGGAGAUGAAGCUCCUCAAGGAGAGCUGUCAGCUCCCACUCUCCACCUCCCCAUAAGCCUUUGAUUUAAAGAAAGCCUCCAUCUGUUAGCCUCCGGUGUGUGGGAUAGUUUUGCAGCCGAAGAGGGGUGGGCAUUGCUCAGGAUCUUGGCAUGGCUGAGAACCAGGUCCAGGAAGGAGUGGGAGGGGCAAGGCCAGCUCCUCUGCCCCCAGCUUGCUGUGGGACCUCAGGCCUUGGGCUAGACUUCCUUGGACUGACUGCUAAGGCAGGAGAGACAGAGUCAGAGACCCUCCCUAUCCACACCCCACCUCUCCUAGCCAGGGAGCAAUGGGUUCACACUGCCUGGAUCAGCUAUGAGGUCAGGUGGCUGGGAGGCCUGAACCAGGAAGAGCUCUGGGCCACGGGAGGCGGGUGAGCAUUUAAAAUGAAUGCUGACCCUACUGAGCACACAAAGCUGUGAAGAAGGAGCUGGUCCUUCAGAGCACGCUGGGAGUAUAUGCACUGGUGUGGGGAGGUAGGAAGAGGGGGAUGCAACCCCAGAGAAGGUGGCAACUUCUGGAGAAGCAGACACAGCAGAAAAAACACAGAUAGAGGGCGAUACUGAUUAAUUUUGAGUUGUCCCUGGUGAUCAGGUAUGAACUUGGGUCCCCAUCACCCUCCCAAGUGGCCCUGGGCAUAUGUGGUCAGCACCCAGUUAGAAAGACUUGUUUCCUAGUACAUCUUCUCUCAUGGUCUCUCGUGGAUGCACUAUACUUCAUAGUACCCAAAACACUUCCAAGUUCAUAGUGGGCCUCUGUUUCUAUAAUUUGACUAUGUCGAGCAUACACUUACUGCAUUAUACAAAUUGGAAAAACUGAGACCAGGAGAGGAGGAACCAGAAUCUCUUGUUGCCUAAGAGAUUUUCUACUGCUCUUGAUGGCUGAGAGCAUCCUCUACUGCAAUGAUGAGGUAAGCCUCUCCUAGACCAGGAGGCCCAGGCAACAGAACUCCCAAUAGUGGAUUUCAGCUAACAUGUCCCUGUUAGCAUCAUUCUCACUGGCCUCUCCUUUACCUCUUACCCUCUCUCCUCCAGAAGGGUGAGAAUAGAGGGGGUUUCUUUCUCUCUCAUGCUUCCCUCCAGGCCAGGAGGGCUGGGGGCAGAAGGGCAGAGGCACUGCAGCUGUGGAACAGGAGCAGACAAGGGCAUAAUAUUCAGAGGAACCUACAGUCCAUCCUCACACUUCCUGGUCAUUGUCCCCAUCUUCUGUGCCUCCAGCUGCCCCCAUGCCACACCCUAUCAUAUCCACAUGUGUGGACACACAUACCCAUGGCCUGUCCCUCCCCUGUCUCCAGGAGGCUAGCCAGGUCCACACUCCUGCUGAUCCCCCUGUUUGGAGUACACUACAUCAUGUUCGCCUUCUUUCCGGACAAUUUUAAGCCUGAAGUGAAGAUGGUCUUUGAGCUCGUCGUGGGGUCUUUCCAGGGUUUUGUGGUGGCUAUCCUCUACUGCUUCCUCAAUGGUGAGGUGCAGGCGGAGCUGAGGCGGAAGUGGCGGCGCUGGCACCUGCAGGGCGUCCUGGGCUGGAACCCCAAAUACCGGCACCCGUCGGGAGGCAGCAACGGCGCCACGUGCAGCACGCAGGUUUCCAUGCUGACCCGCGUCAGCCCCGGUGCCCGCCGCUCCUCCAGCUUCCAAGCCGAAGUCUCCCUGGUCUGACCACCAGGAUCCCAGGGGCCCAAGGCGGCCCCUCCCGCCUCUUCCCACUCACCCCGGCAGACGCCGGGGACAGAGGCCUGCCCGGGCGCGGCCAGCCCCGGCCCUGGGCUCGGAGGCUGCCCCCCGGCCCCCUGGUCUCUGGUCCGGACACUCCUAGAGAACGCAGCCCUAGAGCCUGCCUGGAGCGUUUCUAGCAAGUAAGAGAGAUGGGAGCUCCUCUCCUGGAGGAUUGCAGGUGGAACUCAGUCAUUAGACUCCUCCUCCAAAGGCCCCCUACGCCAAUCAAGGGCAAAAAGUCUACAUACUUUCAUCCUGACUCUGCCCCCUGCUGGCUCUUCUGCCCAAUUGGAGGAAAGCAACCGGUGGAUCCUCAGACAACACUGGUGUGAUCUGAGGGCAGAAAGGUUCUGCCCGGGAAGGUCACCAGCACCAACACCACGAUAGUGCCUGAAAUUUCACCAUUGCUGUCAAGUUCCUUUGGGUUAAGCAUUACCACUCAGGCAUUUGACUGAAGAUGCAGCUCACUACCCCAUUCUCUCUUACGCUUAGCUAUCAGGUCUUCAAAGUGGGCUAUUCUGGAGUUUUUGUUUUGAGAGCACACGUAUCUUAGUGGUUCCCCACCGAAGUAGAGUGGCCCCAGGGUCAGUCUGGUGGGAGGACGGUGCAACCCAAGGACUGAGGGACUCUGAAGCCUCUGGGAAAUGAGAAGGCAGCCACCAGCGAAUGCUAGGUCUCAGACUUAGCCUACCUGCUCUCCAAGUCUCAGUGGCUUCAUCUGUCAAGUGGGAUCUGUCACACCAGCCAUACUUAUCCCUCUGUGCUGUGGAAGCAACAGGAAUCAAGAGCUGCCCUCCUUGUCCACCCACCUAUGUGCCAACUGUUGUAACUAGGCUCAGAGAUGUGCACCCAUGGGCUCUGACAGAAAGCAGAUACCUCACCCUGCUACACAUACAGGAUUUGAACUCAGAUCUGUCUGAUAGGAAUGUGAAAGCACAGACUCUUACUGCUAACUUUUGUGUAUCGUAACCAGCCAGAUCCUCUUGGUUAUUUGUUUACCACUUGUAUUAUUAAUGCCAUUAUCCCUGAAUCCCCCUUGCCACCCCACCCUCCCUGGAGUGUGGCUGAGGAGGCCUCCAUUUCAUGUAUCAUCUGGAUAGGAGCCUGCUGGUCACAGCCUCCUCUGUCUGCCCUUCACCCCAGUGGCCACUCAGCUUCCUACCCACACCUCUGCCAGAAGAUCCCCUCAGGACUGCAACAGGCUUGUGCAACAAUAAAUGUUGGCUUGG